This 794-nucleotide long non-coding RNA is filed under the name Brachypodium distachyon (stiff brome). RNAcentral describes it as "long non-coding RNA (BDIS_LNC004419)". The record is from RNAcentral. Lineage: Eukaryota; Viridiplantae; Streptophyta; Magnoliopsida; Poales; Poaceae.
GGUCCGUGUUUUGUGCAUAUGCUCGUAGACCUGGGAGGAGUCCAUUUCGCAAGAAGUCCAUCUGGUUCAUAUAAUAUUCUGAAAACAUCCUCCCUUUCCUGUGGAAUACCUUCCUACUCGUCGAUGAUCCAUGAAUUUCUAAGACAUAAUUGUCUUCUCCACAUAAACUUGGAUGAUUUUGAAGUUUUGCGGACAAGCAUGCAUGUCAUUACAAAUGCUUCACUUAAUCAAUUUUAUUAUCAAUUCAUAAGUUUUCAGCGUCUAUUUACUUUUCCACGCACUUGAAUAUACUGUGAUUUUGCACGGUGAAGCAAAAGGUUGUUUUGCAUCAGUUAAGCUCAGAAGGGACGCUCCUUGCAAAGAAAAGAAAAGAAAAAAAAAACCUCAGAUUGGGACGCUUGGGUCAAGCUUUUGGUCUCGGCCCAAGCUCGCAGCGGCUCAAACCGGCUCAGCCGAAGACAGUAAGCCCGAGCUGAGCCUCCAUUUCUGGCCUGUUCAGUAGUCCGGCUCGGCCCGGUCUGGCUCGAUGCGACGGCCCGGAGUUUUCUCAUCUUCUCCUGACACAGUUCCUCUCCGCCAGGAUCCCCGCUUGCCCCCCUGCGCAGCUUGAUCGCAGAAUCGCUGCCGCGACCGCUCACCUCUGUAGCCGCCGCCGCUCCCUACGCGACUGGCUCGCCUGCAGCCUCGGACCGAGCUGGCUCUGCUCGUCGACGGCAGCCUCGGGACGAGCAUGGCUCGGCUUGUGUCCACCCUUGGAAAUAAUGGACUGCCGCCGGCCCCACGUACAACAUGGC